This is a non-coding RNA of Anaerovibrio sp. JC8, 165 nucleotides long. Lineage: Bacteria; Bacillati; Bacillota; Negativicutes; Selenomonadales; Selenomonadaceae. The record is from Rfam.
UCUAUAAUAAAGCCUAAUCCAGCCCAUGGAGCGGGGGAACCAAAUUUUUGGGGUGAAUGAAAAUCAGCUGUUGCAGCAAGGAUGCUGCAUAAGUGGAUCUUAAAGGGUAGUCUUUCUCAACCCUAACCCGACAGCUAACCUCGUAGGCGCAUAGAGAGAGGAGUG